ACGGAAGGCAGCAGUGAGGAAUAUUGGUCAAUGGGCGGAAGCCUGAACCAGCCAUGUCGCGUGCAGGACUACGGCCCUACGGGUCUUAAACUGCUUUUGCAAGGGGAUAAAGUGGGGCACGUGUGCCCCUUUGCAGGUACCUUGCGAAUAAGGAUCGGCUAACUCCGUGCCAGCAGCCGCGGUAAUACGGAGGAUCCGAGCGUUAUCCGGAUUUAUUGGGUUUAAAGGGUGCGUAGGCGGGCUGUUAAGUCAGCGGUGAAACCCCCGGGCUCAACCCGGGGACUGCCAUUGAAACUGGCGGCCUUGAGUACGUUGGGAGUGCGCGGAAUGUGUGGUGUAGCGGUGAAAUGCAUAGAUAUCACACAGAACACCGAUCGAGAAGUCAGGUCACGAGCUCGCAACUGACGCUCAGGCACGAAAGCGUGGGGAUCAAACAGGAUUAGAUACCCUGGUA
Molecule: ribosomal RNA, 454 nt
Filed under: uncultured Porphyromonadaceae bacterium
Lineage: Bacteria; Pseudomonadati; Bacteroidota; Bacteroidia; Bacteroidales; Porphyromonadaceae
Description: partial 16S ribosomal RNA
Rfam family: Bacterial small subunit ribosomal RNA
Source: RNAcentral